UGCAGUCGAGCGACAGAUAAGGAGCUUGCUCCUUUGACGUUAGCGGCGGACGGGUGAGUAACACGUGGGUAACCUACCUAUAAGACUGGAAUAACUCCGGGAAACCGGGGCUAAUGCCGGAUAACAUAUAGAACCGCAUGGUUCUAUAGUGAAAGAUGGUUUUGCUAUCACUUAUAGAUGGACCCGCGCCGUAUUAGCUAGUUGGUAAGGUAACGGCUUACCAAGGCGACGAUACGUAGCCGACCUGAGAGGGUGAUCGGCCACACUGGAACUGAGACACGGUCCAGACUCCUACGGGAGGCAGCAGUAGGGAAUCUUCCGCAAUGGGCGAAAGCCUGACGGAGCAACGCCGCGUGAGUGAUGAAGGGUUUCGGCUCGUAAAACUCUGUUAUUAGGGAAGAACAUAUGUGUAAGUAACUGUGCACAUCUUGACGGUACCUAAUCAGAAAGCCACGGCUAACUACGUGCCAGCAGCCGCGGUAAUACGUAGGUGGCAAGCGUUAUCCGGAAUUAUUGGGCGUAAAGCGCGCGUAGGCGGUUUCUUAAGUCUGAUGUGAAAGCCCACGGCUCAACCGUGGAGGGUCAUUGGAAACUGGGAAACUUGAGUGCAGAAGAGGAAAGUGGAAUUCCAUGUGUAGCGGUGAAAUGCGCAGAGAUAUGGAGGAACACCAGUGGCGAAGGCGACUUUCUGGUCUGUAACUGACGCUGAUGUGCGAAAGCGUGGGGAUCAAACAGGAUUAGAUACCCUGGUAGUCCACGCCGUAAACGAUGAGUGCUAAGUGUUAGGGGGUUUCCGCCCCUUAGUGCUGCAGCUAACGCAUUAAGCACUCCGCCUGGGGAGUACGACCGCANGNUGAAACUCAAAGGAAUUGACGGGGACCCGCACAAGCGGUGGA
RNAcentral lists this ribosomal RNA (896 nucleotides) under Staphylococcus gallinarum. RNAcentral describes it as "bacterial SSU rRNA". It matches the Rfam family "Bacterial small subunit ribosomal RNA", at positions 56 to 936 of the family's 1533-position model. Lineage: Bacteria; Bacillati; Bacillota; Bacilli; Caryophanales; Staphylococcaceae. The record is from RNAcentral.